UUAAAGAAAGGUUAAGAACUCCUGGAUUACACAGUUUCUGAGGUUCUGUUCGGCUCUGACAUCAUAGAAUUCUAUGACUGUUGUGUCACCUUGAACAAGUCUUUAUUCCUUUUCAGCAGAUGAUCUCAAAGUCUCUUCAAGCUCCAUUUCCCAAGUUCUCAGGUUUCUCCUUUCAAUACCAUAGUGCAAAUUCAGGAGAAGGUCUUUGUUAUGUGAAAUGGAUCUCAGGGAGGGAGAAAAGGGACAUGGAGAAAUCAAGGAAUCAGUCUCACUUGGAGGGAUGGGCAAGAUUCCAGAGAUACCUAUCACUUCUGUGAGCCAAAUUUAGACCACCUCACAUAACCAUACAGAUGAAGAAACUGAGUUCCUCAAAGUUCUCUUUCCAAGAUCACACUACUAAUUUGGAGCUCAGACUGAAUCCCAGAUUUCUACCUUUAAUUCCCUGCUUCUUCCUGCUACAUCACACUGUCCACCAGAGGGAAUCAGGUGAGGAAGAAUCUUAAUAAUCAACUGAAUCCCCAUCAGUCAGCCUCUCUGUCCUAACUCCUCUGAAGUGUGGCUUGGCAAGGGUGCC
RNAcentral lists this long non-coding RNA (574 nucleotides) under Monodelphis domestica (gray short-tailed opossum). RNAcentral's name for it is "lncRNA (ENSMODG00000047755.1)". Lineage: Eukaryota; Metazoa; Chordata; Mammalia; Didelphimorphia; Didelphidae. The record is from RNAcentral.